Non-coding RNA from Oryctolagus cuniculus (rabbit), 9973 nucleotides. The record is from RefSeq and is a predicted model, not a curated record. NCBI's taxonomy places the organism in Eukaryota, Metazoa, Chordata, Mammalia, Lagomorpha, Leporidae.
UCAGAGCCAGCGGGCGUGGCCAAGAGCGCGCCGACAUGUUGUACGGAAGCCGAAGCAGCUAGCCCCCGUGGGCGGGACUGCGUAGCGCCGCCACGUUGUACGGCGGCCUCCGGGAGACGAUAGCUGCUUCUCUCCUGACCUGGUCGUGAGCUGCUUCCUUCCUUCCUUCCAGGGCUAGGGGUUGGAAUGGAGACCAGUAUAGAAUACCAGUGUUGUUGAAUAAAUGAAUGAAUUUACUUGGAAAAUGUUCUCUGUAUUUCUAGAGAGACUUGGCUGGGCAGGCAGAGUGGACAGUGAGAGAGAGAGACAGAGAGAAAGGUCUUCCUUUGCCGUUGGUUCACCCUCCAAUGGCUGCCGCGCUGCAGCCGCCGCACCGCGCUGAUCCGAUAGCAAGAGCAAGUUUCUUAACACCCCACUGGAGGAAGCACCAAGAAAUCCUGGCGUAUUUCCUAAAACAGUGAUAGACAAGCCCAUUCUGGCCCUAGGAAUAGCUGAUGAGGCACAAACCAAGACUGGGCCAUGAUGAAGCCAGGAAUCAGGAGCUCCAUAUGGGUUUCCCAUGUGGGUGGCAGAGAUCCAGUACUUGAACCGUCACCUUUUGCCUCUCAGGGAGCACAUUAGUAGGAAGCUGGAAUCAGAAGCGGAACUGAGACUCCAACUCUGACGUGGAAUGCAGGUGUCCCAAGCAGGAAUUUGGAGGGGCAGAUCUGUGGCCACUAUUAGCAAAUGGAACCAGCAUGAGUUCCAACUUGGAAAGAGUCAACAUGGAAUAAGUGAAUCGUAAGCCUGAAGUGGAAAUGGGUUAUUUUGUGGGCCAUGGGCAGCAUUCAACCAGGUGAGUUGAUAGAGAUACUGCUGACUAAGGCAGCAGGGGCUCUGUUCACUCUGCUUCUGCUGGGAAUUGCUUUCUGCAAACUUUCAACUCACAGGCUGGUUCCUGCAUGGCAAACAUGGGUCAUAGGACUCGCUCUUCUCAGGAGACUCUAUGGUGAGUAGAUCAGGGCAUGUCUCCUACAUCUAAUUUUUCUAAUAAAGCCACACUUAGAACAUGUGGAUGGGUAAGUUUUAGCAUUAUUUGCUUUUCUCCUCAGGUACUUAGGGGAUGCCCAUGUGACACCUAGAGCAUAGGUUCAAAAAUAGAAAAAUCCAAUUUACUAGUUAUAUCUUUGGGACAGUACCAGGCACAGGGCACAUCUGAAUUUUUACUGAAUUUGCUAAAUUAAUACAAUGACUUUAUGAACUCCACAGUAAUACUUCCCAGUGUGUUAUUACGGUAUUUGUUCAGAGCUGAAACCUAACUCUUCCUCUAGGUGUUUGAUUGCAUGAUAUCACUCAACUCUGAGCUCCUGUAGGGGACGGCCAGUCACGUAUUAAUGCAUGUGAUCUUCAGACACAGCUGAUGUUCCUUAGAAGAUUGUAGAACAGAAUUGAUGGUACAGGGAUCCACAGACUUUCUGCUUUCCUUUCUGGAAACUGGGGUUUGGUGGGGGGGACCAAGGAAUAUGAUUAAAUUACAGAUGAGAAAGGGCCUCAGAGAUCACCUAGCUCAACAUCUUCAAAGUAAGAUCUAAAGAGGUCAGUCAUGUGUCAAGGUCACUUAGUUGGUGACAGAGCCAGACAUAGAUGCCAUAGAAACUAGCAUUUAUCAGAAGCUUCUAGAAGACUGGGCAUCAUGCAAGACCGGCACUGUUCUGUACAUAUCCGUUGAGCCUCAUGAGGCCAACAGCACUUGAAAUGUGUCAGAGGAGACUGAGAAACAGAACCUUAGAGUUUGCUUCAUUUUCAUUUAAAAUCCAAAUCCUUUUUCAUUCAUGACAACUUUAUUGCUUUGUUAAUGAUGGCAGUGAUCAUUAAAAAUUUAGUGGCUGAACCAACCAGUGCUAUCCAAGUUAAAAUACACACUGGAUUUCAAAGAUUAGAUGAACAAAAUCUUAUUAAUUUUUAUGCUGAUUUUAUGCUAAAUUAUAAUAUUUGGGGUAGAUUAAGUUGAGUAAAAUAUGGUGUUAAAAUUAUACUCACCUGUUUCUUUUUACUAAUUUUUAUCAUGGCUACUUGAAAAUUUCAAAUGACAUACAUGGCUUGUGUUUUAUUUCUAUUGGGCAAUGUGGUUCUGGACUCUCGACAGGUAGUAUUUCAUUUAAUCCUCACAACAACCAUCUCCAUUUUUCUCCAGUUCAUGGAUGAGGAAACUACGACUGAGAGGGGCUAAAGUAUUUGCAGACUCAACAUGACAUCAGGCUGUUUGGCUUGGAAGCCCUUAUUCUUUCCAGAAACACUUCUCCCCAGCUUCUUUGCACCAGCCAGACAGUACCCAGAUACACUGUACUUAAGCUGAAUUACAGAUUCUAACGCAGUGAUUCACUACAGGAAAGGGCAGAAUUCCUUUGACAAAUUUAAGGUAGCUGACUUUAAUGUUUGGGGGUUCUGUUUCAUGGUUGUCUCCUUCAAAAAAUUCUGAAAACAAGAAGUAUAUAGUUAAUUUAUUGAGAGAGAGAAAGAGAGAGAGAGAGAGAAAAUCUUCCACCUGCUGGAUCACUCCCCAAAUACCUGCAACAGCCAGGGCUGGGCAAGGUUGAAACCAGGAGCCAGAAACUCAACCAGGUCUCCCUGGGUGACAGGGACCCCACCACUUGUGCUAUCACCUGCUGCCUCCCAGGAUGCACAUUAGCAGGUAGCUGGACUCGAGAGCGAAGCCAGAACUUGAACCCAGGCACUCUGAUAUGAUACAGGAGCCUCCAUGUGGGUUUCUAACCACUGUGCCAAUGCCAGCCUUAAGGAAAAAUUUUUUUUGCUUCAAUUUUCAAUGCUUUUUUUUUUUAAAGUUUCUAGCCAACAAUUAUGUUUGAUGAUAUACAAAGUUAGUUUGUCCUUUUCUAUUGAUUCACAUUUUUUAAAAGGUUUAUUAUUUAUUUGAAAGGCAGAGAGGAAGAGAGAGAGAGAGAGAGAGAGAGAGAGAGAGAGAGAGAGAGAUCUUCCAUCUGCUGGUUCACUCCCCAGAUGGCCACAACUGCUGGAGCUGAGUCACUCUGAAGCCAGGAGCCAGGAGCUUCUUCCGGGUCUCCCAUGUGGAUGCAGGGGCCCAAGGACUUGGACCAUCUUCACUGCUUUCCCAGGCCAUAGCAGAGAGCUGGAUCAGAGGUGGAGCAGCCGGGACUCUAUCUGGCACCCAUAUGGGAUGCCGGCACUGCAGGCUGGGGCUUUACUCACUAUGCCAUAGUGUCAGCCCCUGAUUCACUUAUUUUUCUAUGAGAAAUGAGUUACUUAUUUUGCAACUAAGUUAUUUGGAAAACAUUAAAAUAUUUAAUGUAUUUUGUAAUUGUAAUUUUGUAAUUGUAUUUUAAUAUUGCUCUGUCUUUAUUUCUAGUAUAGGACUGCUUUUCGCCUAGGCAAGAAAAACAAAACACAGUCUGGCAGCUCCUCUGUGUAAAGUAUAUUUCCCACCCAGGCAGCCUCAGGAUGAUAUCUUCUUGCUGCUAUUUGAGACAUGGAAAUUCUACCACAAUUUUGUUCUGAAUUCUAACAUUGGCCAGAUACAAAUACCUAACGAUGUGGCAAAAAAGUUCAGACACAUGAACCCAUAAACACUGCUUUUGAUGAAAGGGUAGUCGGAUUUCUCCAGUGCCCAAAUUCACUGGGAAUCUGUAUUUGAACAAGAGCCUCUGUUCUCUCCAGCUGUAAAAGGAGUUGGUAUAAUGUCACUGCAAUCGAGUUUAUUGUCAAUAGAGGGCACCAAAGCAUGAAAAAGUAAUUAUCGAUGGUUUUGGCUUAUUUCUUCAGCUCAAUUAGUAUUUAAAAAAUGAAAAAAGAAAAUCUUUGAAAGCAUGUGUCCAGCCUAGUAGUUAAGAGUUAAAAUGCCCAUGUCCCAUAUUGGAGGACCUGGGUUCAAUUCCUGGCUCCAGCUCCUAACACUCCCUUCCGCUAAUGCAGACACAAGGAGACAGUAGUGAUGGCUCAAAUAAUUGGGUUCCUGCCACUCAUGUGGGAGACCUGGGUUAAAUUUCCUGCUUCUGGUUUUGGCUUUGGUUCAGACCCAGCUGUUGCAGGCAUUUGGGGAGUAAAUCAGCAGAUGAGGGUUUUCUCUUUGUCUCUUAAAAUAAAUAAAUAAAUAUAAAUAAAUAACUUUAAAAACCUUUAAAAAGUCAUCUUUUCAUCUUGAAAAUGGAGGAUUCAGUACUUUUGUCCAUAUGUGUCCUUUCUGCCCAUUCAGGCACAGCUAAGCCAGAGCUCAGCCUGAAGCCAGUGUUUGGUGCAUGGGUGGUCUCAGAAAUCCAGGAGAAAAAAAAUGAUUCCUACUUUCUGCUUCCUACUCCUCCACCAGCCUCCCCACCCCCUCCCCCAGACUCCCGCAGGACAUGACCCAUGCUUCUCCAGUUAGAAUCCUCUCCAGCAGCUUGAUUUUCACAGGACUUUCAUGUGGUUAGCAAGAAUCUGUUUUUGUUGUUGUGCUGUUUUUUUGUUUUUUUUUUUUUUUUUGGAUUUGUUUCAUUUAUUUGAAAAACAGAGUUACAGAGAGAGAGAGAGAGAGAGGUUUUCCAUCUGCUGGUUCACUCCCCAAAUGGCCGCAAUGGCUGGAGCUGAGCCGAUCCAAAGCCAGGAACCAGCAGCUUCUUCCAGGUCUCCCAUGCGGGUGCAGGGGCCCAAGGACUUGGGCUAUCUUCUACUGCUUUCCCAGGCCAUAGCGGAGUGAUGGAUUGAAACUGGAGCCGCUGGGACUCGAAUCAGUGCCCAUACGGGAUGCCGGCACUACAGGCUGGGGCUUUAACCCUCUGUGCCACAGUGCGGGCCUGUUUUCUGGGUUUUGUUUGUUUGUUUUUUGAUUCUAGUUCCUGUCAAGGGGCAAGGCACAGCGUCAGUUUCUGGGGAUACCACAUAUUAAAACAGACCUGCUGAAUGCAGCCUGCCGUCUAGCAGCCAGCGGAGAUAGUCAUCCCGCAUCCCACAGACAUACAGCAGAAAGUCAUCUUACAAAAAGCAGUGUUUGAGCUGAGAUCAGAAUAGGUGUUAACUAGGAUAGCAAGGAGGCUGCAGGGAAAAGAUUCCAGGUACCAGGUCGCCAAGGUGGGUGAGCUUGGGAAAUGACAGAGCAGCUAAGGCUGGGCUGGAGGCCAAGUGAUAUCAUCCAGCGACUCUGGGGUCACGGCACAGAGUCUGGACUUGGUGGGAUGUGCAAGGCAAAGCCCUUCAUCCAUGGGUGAUGGGAUUAGAUUUACUGUUUUGAAAAGAUCUCUCCAACUGCUUUAUGGAGAGUGGCAGAUCAUAAGGAGGCUGCUGCAGCAGCUCAGAGGGGAAACCGUGAUGACCUGGGCCAGGGUGGAGAUGGUGGGUUGGAGAGACAGGACCAAGGAAUGAGCAGGACUCCACUGUGAAUCAAACACGGUGGUGAGGGAAAGAACUGCACUAAGGGUGAUUUCUAGGUUUCCGGCCUGCAAAGGGCUCACAGCUUGGGAGUUUCAAAGUUAGAGAAUACAGUUUGGGAAGUGUUGAGAGAAAUCAGGGACUUAAACACCAGAUGGUAACUUGUUGGGCAACCUUAGGCCCAGCUGUUGGUCUUUACACCAAAUCUCUGAACUACCCUGUAGUGAGUGAACAUUUCCAGAAGAGCUGGGAAUGAGCAGCAACGUUGCAGCAUGAUGUCUAUAUCCAAGGCCAGUAUCAAUGUACACAAAUGCAGAAUGCAAAGAAAAAGUUCUGGAAUAUAAUUAAAUCACUAACUGUCAUGUUUCAGGGCUGAGAUGAGAGGGAACGCCAAUUUGAAGUCCAGAUGUUACUGUGUUGUUUGAAAUUUUUUAAAGUAAGCCUUAAUUGGUCUUCUCAUUAGCAAAACUCAUAAAAUCACUGUCAUUUCCAAUAACAAGCUUUUCGCUUGGGAAAUGGGAAGCCCUUUGUGGAGUCCCAGUAAUCUCCCACCUCCAUUCAGUCUCUCUACUGGAAUUUAGAGAGCCUUUCCAUUUGGGAACCUUGUAGCCCCGGAGAGCAUAGAUUUCUCUCACUGCAGCUCAUUAGAGAUCCUCAGAAAAUCAACUUGAGGACCGGCUACAGAAGCCCUCCCAGCACCCUUUGAUCUUUGCAGCAGCAAAUGUGUCGUUUGUAGCACGAGGGUCCAGUUCUUCUGUGAGGCUAAAAUAGAGCCACUCCAAGACACUUUGGAGGCUCCCUGAACUCCUACUAACUACCCAUCUUUGUCCCAAUUGAUGUAGCAGUUCUGCCAUAUCCCCCAGGACGUCAUUUCCACUUGCUUGGUAAAUAAUUAGCCUGCUGCCUUUGGCUAUAGAAAGGAUUAUAAAUAUUUCAAACACUGCAAGUGAUUGAAACAGUCUCUAUUCGAAUUCAUCUAUGCCUGUGAUGCUUUGCGUGAAAAUUUGCCUCUAAGAGGGAAAAAAUCUUUGAGAAGAUGAACAAGCAGAGUAAGGUGGGGUGUAGGCUGCUGAGGUCAUUGGACACUCGGAAUCAGGCUAUCAGGAGCCAGCAGUUUGAACCUUCCAAUUUUAGCUCACACCUGUCAAUCUUUCUGAUCUCCAGAGAAAUAAAAGAUCCCACUUCUUAAGAGCACUUUUAGUCUUGCAAGGAUUAUUUUUAAAUAAACUUUAUUUUUCAGAGCAGUCUUAGGUUCACAGCAGAACUGAGUCCCCACACACCCAUGGCCUCCCCCACUAUUGAUACCCCAUACCAGAAUGGUACCUUUGUUACUACUGUCAGUGAAGCUACAUUGACACAUCGGUAUCACCCAGAGUCCCUAGUUCACAUCAAGGCUCUCUCUGGGCCCUGUGUAUUGUGUAUGUUUUGAAAAAUGCAAAUGGCAUGUGUCUAUCACUGUAGAGCACACAUUCCUCUCUCCCCAAGACUUCUGGCAACCACUGGUCUUUUUACUGUCUCUCUAGUUUUGCCUCUUCCAGAAUGCCUUAGAGUUGGAAUCCUUAUAGGAAUUUUAAAAAUAUUCCUCUCAAGUAAGUUAUAAGAACUUACAAGUUCUCAUUUAUAUAAUCGGUGAUACUCUUUACAGUAUGUUCUUUGUGGUUGCCAUGAAAACCCAUGGCUGCACUUAGACCCUGUCUGCAUCUGACCAGCACUUCAUGGACAGUUAGGUGAGAUCCACUGCCCUACACGAGGCAGGCAGCCAGCAGGAGACUGAUCUGUUGGGGUCGGGGGAGUCACACAGAGCCCUGCCGAGUGUUCUCUGCUCUUCCAAUGUAACUUCUUCAUUUUUUUUUUUUUAAGAUGUACUUGAAAGAGUUACAGAGAGGCAGAAGCAGAAAGAGAGAGAGAUCUUCCAUCCGCUGGUUCAUUCCCCAAAUGGCCACAAUGGCCAGAGCUGGGCCGAUCUGAAGCCAGGAGCCAGGAGCUUCUUCUGGGUCUCCCACAGGGGUGCAGGGGCCCAAGCACUUGGGCCAUCUUCUACUGCUAUCCCAGGCCACAGCAGAGAGCUGGAUCAGAAGAGCAGCAGCCAGGACCAGAAUUGACACCCAUAGGGGAUGCCAGCACUGCAGGUGGAGACUUAGCCCACUAUGCCACACUGUGUGUCCCCCCCCCCACUAUUUUUUGUGGUACAAAAAUUUUGAAAUCCACCCAUGUGCAGGGUAUUCAAAAAGUUCAUGGAAAAUGCACAUUAAAAAAACUAUAUAUGGAUAUUGAUUCAGAGGAUAACAGUACCAUGUUUCCAAAGUAAACAUUGUCUAUGCUUUUUUAAAAUAAAUUUUAUUUAUUUUUAUUUUUUAUUUGAAAAAGAUGAGAGCGAGCGGGGAAUUGAUCUUCAAUCUACUGGUUCACUCCUUAAAUGACCACAACAGUGAGGGCAGGGCCAGGAUGAAAGCAGGGCCCCAAAACUCAAUCUGAUUCUACCAUAUGGGUAACAGGAACCCAAGUACCAAAGCCAUCCUCUGCUCCCUCCCAGGGUGCACAUUAGCGGGACUUGAUCCAGGCACUCCAAUAUGGUAUGAGAGCUUCCAAGCAGUGACUUGACCACUGUGCCAAAUGCAUACCCUUGUCCUUGCUCUAUUGUCCUGAGAUAACCAUUGUUAAGUUUAACAUUUUGUGUGUAUCUUUACAUUCUAUAAAUGGGUUCAUGUGGGGAGCAACUAGGAGCAACUCGGACUAGACUAAGUUACUGGAAUUAAGACUUAUUCUAUGCAUCUGCUCUCCCACAAUAUGGCGCUGAGAAGGGAGAAACAGCUUCUACACAGCUGCCUCCAGUUCCACCAAUAAACUGUAGGACCUGCUCCUGAUUGGAGGAGAGCAGCGUACUUGGCGUGUGGGUAGCAGAGUUGGGAUUGGCGGAAGAGGACUAUAAAGGAGGAGAGAGACAACAUGCACCAGGAACAUCUAAGGGGAACAUCUAUCUGAAGGAACACCUGUGCAGCCCCCGAGAGAGCCGGCCAGCGGUGUGCCGCUCCCCCGCGGAAGUGGGGAAUGUGGCAGGGGGAACCGCCCUUCCACGGAGGUGGAAGGGAUGGUAGCCAACCCGGGAAGAACCAGCAGCAAACCCGAGGAGGGCCGAGCAGACAAAAGAACAGCGCAGGGUCCUGUGUCGUUCCUCCACGAAGACGGGGAGCGACAGGUUCAUCCUAUACUCACCACUUUGCAACAUGCUGAUUUUAUUGGACAUUUUAUCGUGAUCAGCUUUUCAUGUCAAUUCAUAAACAUCUGAUCUUUUUAAAGACAUGCAAAAAUGUGUUGACCCAAACCUCUAUUGAGGGCCACAUGAAUUAUUUCCAAAUAUUUGCUUUGAAACACCAGCAAUAAAGAUUUAUGUGCUUCUUUGCACAUCUUUUUGAUUAUCCCUAGGAUAAAUUCCUAGAAGUUAAACUUUUAGGUCAAAAGGUAAACAUUUAAAAUUUUGAUGCAUUUUGCCAAAUUAUACUCUCAACAAAAGUAUGAGACUAUAGUUUUCUACACGCAAGCCAAGACAAAGAACAUUAUUUUUUUAUCUUGCCAGUUUGCUAAGUAAAAAGUGUUUUCAUUUUUAGUUUUAAAUUUAAAUAUCAAGUUUAAUUUUUAUUUCAGUAUAGGUUACAUGGGGAUAUUAAGUUUGUACAAAUUCAGUGAGCUUUAUAGUUUUGAUAUGCAUAUUAAGUAUAUAUAUAUAUAUAUAUAUCCACUUUGGGAGGAUUUGUUUAUCUGUUAGGCCACUUAGGGCUGCAAAUAACAGAACAGGCCAAGUUACACACACACACACAGUGGGUGCUUCAAAAUAUUUCUGGAAAAUGGAAUUAAAAGCUAUUGUGCAAUUUUCUCAAUCUUUGGGUGGCACGGGUUGAUUAGUCCAGCAGAGCAGUGCACCAGCAGUCAUACUCUGUGUUUUGGCCCAGCUCUCCUUGCGGAGGCAAGACGGCUGCUGCAACUCCAGGCCGCACAUGCAAAUGUCACAAUAUCCAGUGGAAGAAGAGAGAUGGUUUCCUCCUGUCUGUUUCUGUCAAAUAUCUGAGGACAAAUCUUUCUUGAGUUCUUCCCCCCUCCCAUGACUUGCUCUCACGUCUGUUUGAUUAAAAUUCCCUCGGAUGGGAGCCAGCAUCUAAGUGUAGCAGGGGAAGCAGCCAGAUGGGAUGCUGGCACCCAUGCUAAGUUGACAAUUUGAGUUCUGGCUGCCCCACUUCUGAUCUAGCUUCCUGCUAAUGCUGCUGCGAAAGCAGCCAGUGAUGACCCGAGGACCCCUGCCACCUAUGUUGGAGACUAGGAUAGAUUGCCUGGCUCUUGGCUUCAGCCUGUUCCAGCCUUGGCUGUUGUGACCAUUUGGGCAGAGAAUCAGCAGGUGGAAGAUCUCUCUCUCUGUCUCUCCCUCUCUCUCCAUCACUCUGCCUUUCAGAUAAAUAAAAUAAAUCUUUAAAAUAAAAUAAAAUUCCCUCACAUGUCCAAAGCUGGUUAGCCAACAGUAAGAGGAGUGGGAACACCAUGAUGGAUCUAGAAGGAGAAAGAUUCCCUUUCUGCGGCUGGAGCUGAGGCCCAGCUCCCCGUCAUUCGUGGCUGGGCAGAGGAGCUCAGC